This 218-nucleotide long non-coding RNA is filed under the name Mytilus galloprovincialis (Mediterranean mussel). The record is from RNAcentral. Lineage: Eukaryota; Metazoa; Mollusca; Bivalvia; Mytilida; Mytilidae.
CGGCGUCGGGUUCAACAUUUAGGUACAGUCUUUUGUUAAAGUUUGUUUGAUACAUCAGUAACUUUGUCAGCCCUUCAUAUAAUUUCAUGAAAUUGGACAUGCAGAAGGUUGUUUAUGACCAAAAGACAGAGUGAAUGUUUGAAAAUAUUUUUUUUCAUUUUCCGUUUUUUACUGGUAAACAGACUUUUCUUUUUUUACAAUUAACAAGUAGAUACAGU